GCAGCCGCGGUAAGACGGAGGAUGCAAGUGUUAUCCGGAAUCACUGGGCGUAAAGCGUCUGUAGGUGGUUGAAUAAGUCAACUGUUAAAUCUUGAGGCUCAACCUCAAAAUCGCAGUCGAAACUGUUCGACUAGAGUAUAGUAGGGGUAAAGGGAAUUCCCAGUGGAGCGGUGAAAUGCGUAGAGAUUGGAAAGAACACCGAUSGCGAAGGCACUUUACUGGGCUAUUACUAACACUGAGAGACGAAAGCUAGGGUAGCMAAUGGG
Molecule: ribosomal RNA, 266 nt
Filed under: uncultured diatom
Lineage: Eukaryota; Bacillariophyta
Description: partial 16S ribosomal RNA
Rfam family: Bacterial small subunit ribosomal RNA
Source: RNAcentral